AGAGUUUGAUCAUGGCUCAGGACGAACGCUGGCGGCGUGCCUAAUACAUGCAAGUCGAACGCUUCUUUCCUCCCGAGUGCUUGCACUCAAUUGGAAAGAGGAGUGGCGGACGGGUGAGUAACACGUGGGUAACCUACCCAUCAGAGGGGGAUAACACUUGGAAACAGGUGCUAAUACCGCAUAACAGUUUAUGCCGCAUGGCAUAAGAGUGAAAGGCGCUUUCGGGUGUCGCUGAUGGAUGGACCCGCGGUGCAUUAGCUAGUUGGUGAGGUAACGGCUCACCAAGGCCACGAUGCAUAGCCGACCUGAGAGGGUGAUCGGCCACACUGGGACUGAGACACGGCCCAGACUCCUACGGGAGGCAGCAGUAGGGAAUCUUCGGCAAUGGGGGCAACCCUGACCGAGCAACGCCGCGUGAGUGAAGAAGGUUUUCGGAUCGUAAAGCUCUGUUGUAAGUCAAGAACGAGUGUGAGAGUGGAAAGUUCACACUGUGACGGUAGCUUACCAGAAAGGGACGGCUAACUACGUGCCAGCAGCCGCGGU
RNAcentral lists this ribosomal RNA (543 nucleotides) under Enterococcus sp. oral clone 5RH-39. RNAcentral's name for it is "bacterial SSU rRNA". It matches the Rfam family "Bacterial small subunit ribosomal RNA", at positions 8 to 521 of the family's 1533-position model. Lineage: Bacteria; Bacillati; Bacillota; Bacilli; Lactobacillales; Enterococcaceae. The record is from RNAcentral.